AUACGAAGGUGGCUAGCGUUGUUCGGAUUUACUGGGCGUAAAGCGCACGUAGGCGGAUUGAUUAGUUAGGGGUGAAAUCCCGAGGCUCAACCUCGGAACUGCCUCUAAAACUGUCAAUCUCGAGACCGGAAGAGGUGAGUGGAACUCCUAGUGUAGAGGUGGAAUUCGUAGAUAUUAGGAAGAACACCAGUGGCGAAGGCGGCUCACUGGUCCGGUACUGACGCUGAGGUGCGAAAGCGUGGGGAGCGAACAGGAUUAGAUACCCCAGUAGUCC
This 274-nucleotide ribosomal RNA is filed under the name uncultured bacterium. Its description in RNAcentral is "partial 16S ribosomal RNA". It matches the Rfam family "Bacterial small subunit ribosomal RNA", at positions 523 to 796 of the family's 1533-position model. The record is from RNAcentral.